This 816-nucleotide ribosomal RNA is filed under the name Salmonella enterica. RNAcentral's name for it is "partial 23S ribosomal RNA". It matches the Rfam family "Bacterial large subunit ribosomal RNA", at positions 370 to 1190 of the family's 2925-position model. Lineage: Bacteria; Pseudomonadati; Pseudomonadota; Gammaproteobacteria; Enterobacterales; Enterobacteriaceae. RNAcentral also lists the same sequence under 1 other name. The record is from RNAcentral.
GCCCCGUACACAAAAGCGCAUGUGCUGUGAGCUCGAUGAGUAGGGCGGGACACGUGAUAUCCUGUCUGAAUAUGGGGGGACCAUCCUCCAAGGCUAAAUACUCCUGACUGACCGAUAGUGAACCAGUACCGUGAGGGAAAGGCGAAAAGAACCCCGGCGAGGGGAGUGAAAAAGAACCUGAAACCGUGUACGUACAAGCAGUGGGAGCACCCUUCGGGGUGUGACUGCGUACCUUUUGUAUAAUGGGUCAGCGACUUAUAUUCUGUAGCAAGGUUAACCGAAUAGGGGAGCCGGAGGGAAACCGAGUCUUAACCGGGCGUUAAGUUGCAGGGUAUAGACCCGAAACCCGGUGAUCUAGCCAUGGGCAGGUUGAAGGUUGGGUAACACUAACUGGAGGACCGAACCGACUAAUGUUGAAAAAUUAGCGGAUGACCUGUGGCUGGGGGUGAAAGGCCAAUCAAACCGGGAGAUAGCUGGUUCUCCCCGAAAGCUAUUUAGGUAGCGCCUCGUGAAUUCAUCUCCGGGGGUAGAGCACUGUUUCGGCUAGGGGGCCAUCCCGGCUUACCAACCCGAUGCAAACUGCGAAUACCGGAGAAUGUUAUCACGGGAGACACACGGCGGGUGCUAACGUCCGUCGUGAAGAGGGAAACAACCCAGACCGCCAGCUAAGGUCCCAAAGUCAUGGUUAAGUGGGAAACGAUGUGGGAAGGCCCAGACAGCCAGGAUGUUGGCUUAGAAGCAGCCAUCAUUUAAAGAAAGCGUAAUAGCUCACUGGUCGAGUCGGCCUGCGCGGAAGAUGUAACGGGGCUAAACCAU